GCCCAGCUCAGUUCCUCAUUUUAUAAGUAAUGUUUAAGAGCAAUGACCCACUCCUACUUUCAGCAAAGAGGUGCACAUAGCAUAGACCCAUAGAAGAGGAAGGAUCUGAGAAGGAGUUUGAAAAAAGUGUAGGAGAGGCUGCGAGAAAACAAGGCAGGUGUCCUGGCUGAGGGCAGGAAGGAGACAUUGCGAUGGAAAUUGUGCCCCAUUUUCUUGGAGGAUUGGGAAGAGGACCUGUGGACUGGGCGGCCCACACAACUGCUGUAACCUCAGGCAGUUUUCAAGCAGAUUGACCUUCCUGCUGGAACACGGCACAUGAGGGUUGCUUGGCCUUGCCUCCACCAUGCCUGACACUGGCGCUCUGCUGGGAGGAAAAAGCUUGCUCUGUUGCUGGCUGUGUGGAACAGAGAGGGAAGUGGCAGACAGUCUGGGCCCAGCACUUGGGUAUCGUGCUCUAGCCAUGCGACUCAUCUCUCCAGUUCAGACCUGCCCCUGGAAAAAAGAGCCCAGACCUCAUCAUGAAUGCUUUCCUAGGAGAAAAUGAACAGCUGGACAAUGCUCCUGGUCAGUAGGCCUGAAGGAUGCUGGGAUGCAGCCCUCAAGAUGGAACAGCCAGGAUGCCAAGUAUCCCUCUUGCCCAGAUCCUAAGGCACUUUUUCUACUGAU
This 666-nucleotide long non-coding RNA is filed under the name Homo sapiens (human). Its description in RNAcentral is "non-protein coding lnc-TRIM43-7:3". Lineage: Eukaryota; Metazoa; Chordata; Mammalia; Primates; Hominidae. The record is from RNAcentral.